GCAGUCGAGCGGACGAAGGGAGCUUGCUCCCGGAUGUUAGCGGCGGACGGGCGAGUAACACGUGGGUAACCUGCCUGUAAGACUGGGAUAACUCCGGGAAACCGGAGCUAAUACCGGAUAGUUCCUUGAACCGCAUGGUUCAAGGAUGAAAGACGGUUUCGGCUGUCACUUACAGAUGGACCCGCGGCGCAUUAGCUAGUUGGUGGGGUAAUGGCUCACCAAGGCGACGAUGCGUAGCCGACCUGAGAGGGUGAUCGGCCACACUGGGACUGAGACACGGCCCAGACUCCUACGGGAGGCAGCAGUAGGGAAUCUUCCGCAAUGGACGAAAGUCUGACGGAGCAACGCCGCGUGAGUGAUGAAGGUUUUCGGAUCGUAAAGCUCUGUUGUUAGGGAAGAACAAGUGCGAGAGUAACUGCUCGCACCUUGACGGUACCUAACCAGAAAGCCACGGCUAACUACGUGCCAGCAGCCGCGGUAAUACGUAGGUGGCAAGCGUUGUCCGGAAUUAUUGGGCGUAAAGGGCUCGCAGGCGGUUUCUUAAGUCUGAUGUGAAAGCCCCCGGCUCAACCGGGGAGGGUCAUUGGAAACUGGGAAACUUGAGUGCAGAAGAGGAGAGUGGAAUUCCACGUGUAGCGGUGAAAUGCGUAGAGAUGUGGAGGAACACCAGUGGCGAAGGCGACUCUCUGGUCUGUAACUGACGCUGAGGAGCGAAAACGUGGGGAGCGAACAGGAUUAGAUACCCCUGGUAGUCCCACGCCCGUAAACGAUUAAGUGCU
RNAcentral lists this ribosomal RNA (779 nucleotides) under Bacillus safensis. RNAcentral's name for it is "bacterial SSU rRNA". It matches the Rfam family "Bacterial small subunit ribosomal RNA", at positions 57 to 817 of the family's 1533-position model. Lineage: Bacteria; Bacillati; Bacillota; Bacilli; Caryophanales; Bacillaceae. The record is from RNAcentral.